UUUUGUACAAUGGGGGACACCCUGAUCCAGCCAUCCCGCGUGUAUGAUGAAGGCCUUCGGGUUGUAAAGGACUUUUUGCAGAGAAGAACAGGAAUCCCCUAAUACGACAUACGUCUGACGGUUUCUGCCGAAUAAGCACCGGCUAACUCCGUGCAAGCAGCCGCGGUAAUACGUAGGGUGCAAGUGUUAAUCGGAAUUACUGGGCGUAAAGCGUGUAUAGGCGGUUAGGAAAGAAAGAUGUGAAAUCCCAGGGCUCAACCUUGGAACUGCAUUUUUAACUGCCGAGCUAGAGUAUGUCAGAGGGAGGUAGAAGUCCACGUGUAGCAGUGAAAUGCGUAGAUAUGUGGAGGAAUACCGAUGGCGAAGGCAGCCCCCUGGGAUAAUACUGACGCUCAGACACGAAAGCGUGGGGAGCAAACAG
This 421-nucleotide ribosomal RNA is filed under the name uncultured bacterium. Its description in RNAcentral is "partial 16S ribosomal RNA". It matches the Rfam family "Bacterial small subunit ribosomal RNA", at positions 362 to 775 of the family's 1533-position model. The record is from RNAcentral.